CCCACCUGUAUAUUGCUCAAAAAAGGCUGCCAAAGCUAAGAGUUGCCCCUUAAGCUUUGGCUGGUCCACUUUAUAAUGAAAACAAGAUUGAAAACCUAAACAAAUUGACCCUGUUUAUGAGGAAAACCGGGCCGAAAACCGUACAAGUAACAAGGUUACAGAAGAUGAGAAAAAAUUGACGCACAUCAAAGAUUAACAAGAGAAGGAAAAGGAAUGCCUAGGACAAGUCAUGACCUAGCUAGCAGACCGAAGGACCAACACCACGGGAGGCACAAGUAGAUUAGGGGUACCGUCGAGGGACCACAAUGCCUAGACUAAGCAAGCAACCUAAGGCACCUCUCCGGCGUGCAUACCGAACCCCUUGACACAACUCAGGAGCAUCCACAACCAACGAGUGACAACACGAACCUUGACUGGGAGCUCCUCCACAGGAAUUCGGGACGAUUAGCAAGUUGGGGAGGCUUCUUGCGUCAUCGAAGAGCAAAGAUGAACCGGAAGAACACCAAGAGCACAAAGCUCACCGCAACACAUCGUCCACCAAUGGAGGGACUUGAACUUGCACAGCAACAUGGCCAUCACCGGGGAACGCCACCAAAGACGAACACAUAGGGAGCAAGGCAGCAGCAACACCACCGUCGACCCCAACCGGCCGCACCACCACCAACAACAUUCUGGCAGCAAGCAACGCCCAACAACAACCAAGCUGACCCCAAAAUAGUAUAUUACUGCAGCAAUAUAUCGUCUGUCAAUUGAUGUUGACGGUCCUAUGUUCAGAGUUAUCAGCACAUUCCUUUAGAGCACCCGUACCUAUAUUUUUGUGAUUUCCCGGUGGACAUAUUGCUGCAGUAUCUGUUCUAGUUUUCAGAGAAAUCAGCACGUUCCAUCAGAGAAACCCUGCCUUUGUUUUCUAUGGUGCUUCAGAUCAAAAUACUGCUACCGUAUCUGUUCAAAGUCGUGGUUCAUUGUCUUGCUGCUCUUGCAGGCGUAUGUGCUCGGAGCAUUCAACACUGAGAUGUGGCUCGGAUGCCUUGCCGGAUGACCAGUCACCAGAUGUGUCAUCUUAGGUUUAGCUCCUGCAAGUACUGGUCUCUGCUUCCAGUCCGAAGGGCUGCUAACAAAGAAGCUGGAUAUCCACGAACCUCUUUCAACGAUAGCAGCAAUGACGAGGUUAUGCCGUUGCAUCAUCGCUCUAUCCAUGUCCCAAGUAAUUUUCUUGCCAUUGUUGUUGUUGUGUAACUGGAUAAGACCUGCCUCCUGCUACUAUCUAUGCAUAAUCUUCUGUUCUCAUUUCCUACAUUGUUUUUCCUCGUAUGUUAAGGCGGGCCUUGCUAUUUGUCAGUGUGAUACUUGAUGGUUUCAGCGGGCCUUGCUAUUUGUCGAUACUUGAUGGCUUCAGCAUCAUGUUAUACAAUAGAGGCUGCUGAUUUGAUAGAAUUAUAGGAAGUGGCCGCGAAAUUAAGUAAAUGUGAUGGAGGAAUGCCUCACUCACUUGGGUGGGACUGCAUGCAGGGAGAGUGGAUCUACAGUCCACCACCUGGGCUCAAGUUCUCAUGGGAUUGAGUUUGGGUUCCUAUUUGUUAUGCCUCCCUUACAAUUUUCCAUAAAAGAAGGGAUUGCAAUGAGGAAUGAUAGUGAUAGUAGUAAUUCCAUGGUAUGUCCUAAUGUUUUCCGAGAAUAUGUUGGUCCUCAUGAAAAAACUCAAAGCACUUCUUGCUGGUUUUGUUCUUAUAAUCCAUUCUGUCGUAUUGGCUAGAAAACGUUGAUACACUCGCGCAUAUUAUAUCACUUGUUAUUCAUUAAAUUUCUGUUAUCAUUUAAGGUACACCAGCCUUGAAGAUGUCCUUCUAACUUGAUUACCCAAAAGAGAAGCAGCAUUACCUGAUUUUCCAAGAUAACAAGAAAAAGAGGAAGGUUCAUAAGCCUGAAGUUCUAUGUUAAAAUUUCUGUUUAAUCUUUGAAUGAUUUUAGCCCAUUUAAUCUUAAAUAGCCAAUGUGGCCAUUUGUUCUUUUUACAUCUGAAACCUAUCCCACUUGUUGAACUACCCGAAGUCUUGUUUACAUAUUUUAUUAGUUUCCAAUUUCUGAAGAUAUCCCUGUUGAGCAAAAUGAUGCUGUAUCCCUUGGUCAAAUUGCUUUAAGCUUCUCGAUCUAAUCAAACUGAUGUAGGGAUCUAGUGGCUCUGCAAUAGAUGAUUUUCAUGUAGGUUCCUGAUCGUUGCUCUUCCAUUUUCAUAUAAUUCCUUGUCACGAUAGCAUGUUGUCUGCUGCACUCUUUUCUACUUUGCGCGAUCAUGCUACAUGCCUACAGGGCGACCUUCAUGUUUCAGUCGGCUGCCAUGCUUGGAAGCUUACUUGGAAGCCAUGGGAUCCACACAGGGUUAAGUUUUUCUUCUGGCUCGCCUGCUUGGAUCGUUACUGGACAGCACAGUGCGUCAGUGCCUAGCUCGCAGAGAGCUGCCACACGAUCCUGCCUGCAUGUUUUGUGGCCAAACCUUGGAGACCAUGCAGCACUUUCUGGUUGACUGCCCAUUUGCCAGGGACGCUUGGCGUGGGUUCCUCUCCUGGAUCCAUGCCGCCGUCAGAGAUCCCGUCCCUGGCGAGCCACUCGUCGACUGGUGGCCACAACCUGCAUCCCAGGCUGAGAUCCCCUAAAGAGCGGCAAGGGUCUUGCGAGCACCGUGCUUGUCACGUCCUGGAUGAUCUGGAAGCACGGUACGCUUGCACUUUUGACGGCGUGCAACCGGAUGCUCGCGCCAUUCUCAGCGAAUAUAUCUUCGAUGAGGGUUGCGCAUGGGGCUGGCUGCCUGCCGGCCUGAGGGCUGGGAUGUUCAUUGAUUUCCCUGAGCAGUUUCCUUUUUUGCUUUUAGCUUUUGCUCUACCCUCUAGUGUUUAUGGAUCCUACCUUUUCGACACUGAGAGCCAAAGCUUUGGCACUUUCUUGAGAAAAAAGUAAGCAAAACUGGACACACCAAGGAAAAGCAAAACAAGCGGAUCUAGCGCCAUUAAAUACAGCAUUCAAGGCGUAGCCGCCAGACCAUGGUGGUUUAAGGUGUCACUACUGGGUACCGACACGCCUUAUGACUCCUUUUAUCACCGAUCGCCAGAUUAUGUAGGUUUUUGACUCUGAAUCGAACUGAACUGUACUACCUUAAACUCAUGGAAUGUAAAUCAUGUGGCCGUCUUUCUAGUUAUCACCAUGUAAAUGUUUUAGCACUUAGGCCAGCUAAUUCAGAGGUGAAAUAGUUUUUAGAUCCUGUGCUCACAGAGCUUGUUCAACCGUUUCAUAGUCAUGAUUGCUCAUUUUUCUCUGCUCUGGUUGCAGGUUGCUAGCAAGAUUUUGUUCGUCUGUACUCAACUUCUACUUAAUGCGCCGAGAGUUGCCGUCGUAUCUGAUUUGUACGUCAAGAUUCAGGAACAGUUCACACAGGCAUAACACGAAGAAAGCAGCGGAGUUGGCUGCAGAAUCGUCUCAGGGCUUGUGCAAACGCUCGAGACUCCCUCCAGAGCCAACUACGUGACUUGAUAAAUAUGCUUGCUACCAUGCCCAAGAGAUCAUUCAAGCUCUUACCAUGUAAAUUUUGGGGACGGAUGGUUACUCUACAGACCUAGUUGCUCAAUAGCUUCUGGUCAAACCCGUCGUAGGUUUUUGGGGUCAGCUCGGUGACUUGCCCACAUGUUACCGAUGCCAUCAUUGCUGGUCGAACCCGUUGUAGGUUUUGGGGGUCAGCUACUAAGGUCGCCCUCAUAAUGCUGAUGAACUGUCUUCACAUUUCCUUGGAUCUUAGCUGUCGUUUGACCAGGCUUUAUUUGCAUAUCAAAACCUCGUGCCGGAGUACUGUACUCUGUUGGAUGUAGGGCCAUGCAUGCACAAUAUUGUCAUGCUGAUGAACUGAUGCCAAUGGUGGUGUUGGAGGUUUAGACUUCAGAACAUGGAAUUAUCACAACACAUUUCCUGCCUUUAGUUAUUAUAUUAUCUCUGGAGUUUACUGGAAUCUUUGUACAAUGAAAUCUUUGAUAUGUUUUCCUAUUUUUUACGACCUACCCCGUCAACAUUUUGCUGUAACAAAUGGCGUCUCUUUCUGUCACUGACAUCUGAUAAUCAUGCUUUCGUCUUGUAUUCCUGCAGCAAAUAUGCCGGAUAUCAAUUUUGGCUCUCGGGUCCAAAUGAUCCUGAAACCUGGACCACUCAUUCUAGAGAUUUGCGCUUCAGGCUGUAUCCUCUUUUGUACUGUAUUCUGAGUUGUGCUCUCCUUUUGGAGCAGUAUCAUGGUCACAUCUGGUCCUUACUGAAUGAGCGCAAGUCUGUUUGUCGGUCGUUGGUCUA
This is a long non-coding RNA of Aegilops tauschii subsp. strangulata, 4323 nucleotides long. RefSeq lists it as uncharacterized. The record is from RefSeq and is a predicted model, not a curated record. NCBI's taxonomy places the organism in Eukaryota, Viridiplantae, Streptophyta, Magnoliopsida, Poales, Poaceae.